Molecule: ribosomal RNA, 423 nt
Filed under: uncultured bacterium
Lineage: Bacteria
Description: bacterial SSU rRNA
Rfam family: Bacterial small subunit ribosomal RNA
Source: RNAcentral
AGAAUAUUGGACAAUGGGCGUAAGCCUGAUCCAGCAACGCCGCGUGGAGGAAGAAGGUCUUCGGAUCGUAAACUCCUGUCAGGUGGGACGAAGGCGCGCCGGUGAACAGCCGGCGUCGCUUGACGGUACCGCCAGAGGAAGCCCCGGCUAACUCCGUGCCAGCAGCCGCGGUAAUACGGAGGGGGCUAGCGUUAUUCGGAAUUAUUGGGCGUAAAGGGCGCGUAGGCGGCGUCGCAAGUCAAAGGUGAGAUCCCUCGGCUCAACCGAGGAACUGCCUUUGAAACUGCGACGCUUGAGGCCGGGAGGGGCCAGUGGAAUUCCCAGUGUAGCGGUGAAAUGCGUAGAUAUUGGGAGGAACACCAGUGGCGAAGGCGGCUGGCUGGACCGGUUCUGACGCUGAUGCGCGAAAGCGUGGGGAGCAAA